CAAGUUUUCAUAUUUUUUGGCACACUAAAUGCAACUAUAAAAAAUACAAAACACACAAAAAAAAUACAAUAAUAAACUAAAUAUUUUUAAAACAGCAGCACGAAAAUUGUAAGGUAACCCAGGUGCUUCGGAUAAGUAAUUGAGCAGUUCUCUUAAGGCUUUUGAAACAAGACAAAAGUAGAACUGAAGGUAACCCAGUGCUAUGGAUCAGAAAACAGUUCAUAUA
RNAcentral lists this long non-coding RNA (226 nucleotides) under Mytilus galloprovincialis (Mediterranean mussel). Lineage: Eukaryota; Metazoa; Mollusca; Bivalvia; Mytilida; Mytilidae. The record is from RNAcentral.